GACGAACGCUGGCGGCGUGCUUAACACAUGCAAGUCGAACGGUGAAGCUCCAGCUUGCUGGAGUAGAUCAGUGGCGAACGGGUGAGAAACACGUGAGCAACCUGCCCCUGACUCUGGAAUAAGCGCUGGAAACGGCGUCUAAUACUGGAUACGAGAAGGGUCCGCAUGGGCACUUUCUGGGAAGUUUUUCGGUUGGGGAUGGGCUCGCGGCCUAUCAGCUUGUUGGUGAGGUAAUGGCUCACCAAGGCGACGACGGGUAGCCGGCCUGAGAGGGCGACCGGCCACACUGGGACUGAGACACGGCCCAGACUCCUACGGGAGGCAGCAGUGGGGAAUAUUGCACAAUGGGCGAAAGCCUGAUGCAGCGACGCCGCGUGAGGGAUGACGGCCUUCGGGUUGUAAACCUCUUUCAGCAGGGAAGAAGCGAAAGUGACGGUACCUGCAGAAGAAGCACCGGCUAACUACGUG
RNAcentral lists this ribosomal RNA (468 nucleotides) under uncultured bacterium. Its description in RNAcentral is "partial 16S ribosomal RNA". It matches the Rfam family "Bacterial small subunit ribosomal RNA", at positions 28 to 507 of the family's 1533-position model. The record is from RNAcentral.